RNAcentral lists this ribosomal RNA (568 nucleotides) under Hanseniaspora uvarum. Its description in RNAcentral is "LSU rRNA". It matches the Rfam family "Eukaryotic large subunit ribosomal RNA", at positions 79 to 668 of the family's 3401-position model. Lineage: Eukaryota; Fungi; Ascomycota; Saccharomycetes; Saccharomycodales; Saccharomycodaceae. The record is from RNAcentral.
CUUAGUACGGCGAGUGAGCGGUAAAAGCUCAAAUUUGAAAUCUGGUACUUUCAGUGCCGACUGAUUUGUAGAAUUUGUCUUUGAUUAGGUCCUUGUGAGUACCAGGGGAACAGGACGUCAUAGAGGGUGAGAAUCCCGUUUGGCGAGGAUACCUUUUCUCUGUAAGACUUUUUCGAAGAGUCGAGUUGUUUGGGAAUGCAGCUCAAAGUGGGUGGUAAAUUCCAUCUAAAGCUAAAUAUUGGCGAGAGACCGAUAGCGAACAAGUACAGUGAUGGAAAGAUGAAAAGAACUUUGAAAAGAGAGUGAAAAAGUACGUGAAAUUGUUGAAAGGGAAGGGCAUUUGAUCAGACAUGGUGUUUUUUGCAUGCACUCGCCUCUCGUGGGCUUGGGCCUCUCAAAAAUUUCACUGGGCCAACAUCAAUUCUGGCAGCAGGAUAAAUCAUUAAGAAUGUAGCUACUUCGGUAGUGUUAUAGCUUUUUGGAAUACUGUUAGCCGGGAUUGAGGACUGCGCUUCGGCAAGGAUGUUGGCAUAAUGGUUAAAUGCCGCCCGUCUUGAAACACGGACCA